ACAUUGAAAUACCUGUUCUCGUACGAUCGCCGAAGUUAAACAACGUCGAGUCUGUUUAGUAACUAGAUGGGUGACCACUUGGGAAUACCAGG
Acanthosepion pharaonis is the source of this 92-nucleotide non-coding RNA. NCBI's taxonomy places the organism in Eukaryota, Metazoa, Mollusca, Cephalopoda, Sepiida, Sepiidae. The record is from the annotation of a GenBank genome assembly.